Molecule: ribosomal RNA, 253 nt
Filed under: uncultured bacterium
Lineage: Bacteria
Description: partial 16S ribosomal RNA
Rfam family: Bacterial small subunit ribosomal RNA
Source: RNAcentral
UACAGAGGUCUCAAGCGUUGUUCGGAUUUAUUGGGCGUAAAGGGUGCGCAGGCGGCAAGGUAAGUCUGGUGUGAAAUCCUGGAGCUUAACUCCAGAAUUGCACUGGAUACUGCUUUGCUAGAGGACUGGAGAGGAGAUUGGAAUUCACGGUGUAGCAGUGAAAUGCGUAGAUAUCGUGAGGAAGACCAGUGGCGAAGGCGAAUCUCUGGACAGUUCCUGACGCUCAGGCACGAAGGCCAGGGGAGCAAACGGG